Molecule: ribosomal RNA, 501 nt
Filed under: uncultured bacterium
Lineage: Bacteria
Description: partial 16S ribosomal RNA
Rfam family: Bacterial small subunit ribosomal RNA
Source: RNAcentral
AUUGAACGCUGGCGGCAGGCUUAACACAUGCAAGUCGAGCGGGGGAAGGUAGCUUGCUACCGGACCUAGCGGCGGACGGGUGAGUAAUGCUUAGGAAUCUGCCUAUUAGUGGGGGACAACAUCUCGAAAGGGGUGCUAAUACCGCAUACGUCCUACGGGAGAAAGCAGGGGAUCUUCGGACCUUGCGCUAAUAGAUGAGCCUAAGUCGGAUUAGCUAGUUGGUGGGGUAAAGGCCUACCAAGGCGACGAUCUGUAGCGGGUCUGAGAGGAUGAUCCGCCACACUGGGACUGAGACACGGCCCAGACUCCUACGGGAGGCAGCAGUGGGGAAUAUUGGACAAUGGGGGGAACCCUGAUCCAGCCAUGCCGCGUGUGUGAAGAAGGCCUUAUGGUUGUAAAGCACUUUAAGCGAGGAGGAGGCUACUUUAGUUAAUACCUGGAGAUAGUGGACGUUACUCGCGGAAUAAGCACCGGCUAACUCUGUGCCAGCCGCCGCAGUAA